This 393-nucleotide transfer-messenger RNA is filed under the name candidate division KSB3 bacterium. It matches the Rfam family "transfer-messenger RNA". From Rfam's summary of the family: Bacterial tmRNA, also known as 10Sa RNA or SsrA, is named for its dual tRNA and mRNA-like properties. Its role is to liberate the mRNA from a stalled ribosome. To accomplish this part of the tmRNA is used as a reading frame that ends in a translation stop signal. The record is from RNAcentral. RNAcentral also lists the same sequence under 1 other name.
GGGGGUGACAAGGUUUCGACGGGAUUAGUUGAAGCGUCAGUGGCAUGCCGAGGUUCCGAGGCCCUCGUUAAACCCGGACUAUAACAACUGCAGACGAAUACAAUAUGCCUGCAAUGGCAAUGGCUGCCUAGUGUAGCUUUGUCAGCAUAACCGGGGACCAUAAACUCCCUGGCGUUCAAAGUGUACCUGCCUAUGGGGCGCGGCGAACGUCAAUUUUCAUAGGCUAGCGGCUUUUCAUGUGUGGGGUUGAGUCGCGAAACUCUCACUACACUGGCUCGUUCACCACCCUGUCGUUGGGGGGAUGGGCGGGUAAGACCAAAACAAUGACUAAGCAUGUAGAAGCUGGCAGCGGAAUAAUUUCGGACCGGGGUUCGAUUCCCCGCACCUCCACCA